AUUUAAGUAGUUUAAAAAAAAUAUUGAUUUGUGGAGUCAAAGAUAUAGGAAUAUCUUAAAUA
This 62-nucleotide transfer RNA is filed under the name Dorcus rectus. RNAcentral describes it as "tRNA-His". Lineage: Eukaryota; Metazoa; Arthropoda; Insecta; Coleoptera; Lucanidae. The record is from RNAcentral.